CCUACGGGCGGCUGCAGUGGGGAAUAUUGCACAAUGGGCGCAAGCCUGAUGCAGCCAUGCCGCGUGUGUGAAGAAGGCCUUCGGGUUGUAAAGCACUUUCAGCGGGGAGGAAGGCGGUGAGGUUAAUAACCUCAUCGAUUGACGUUACCCGCAGAAGAAGCACCGGCUAACUCCGUGCCAGCAGCCGCGGUAAUACGGAGGGUGCAAGCGUUAAUCGGAAUUACUGGGCGUAAAGCGCACGCAGGUGGUCUGUCAAGUCGGAUGUGAAAUCCCCGGGCUCAACCUGGGAACUGCAUUCGAAACUGGCAGGCUAGAGUCUUGUAGAGGGGGGUAGAAUUCCAGGUGUAGCGGUGAAAUGCGUAGAGAUCUGGAGGAAUACCGGUGGCGAAGGCGGCCCCCUGGACAAAGACUGACGCUCAGGUGCGAAAGCGUGGGGAGCAAACAGGAUUAGAUACCCCAGUAGUC
RNAcentral lists this ribosomal RNA (465 nucleotides) under uncultured Klebsiella sp. RNAcentral's name for it is "bacterial SSU rRNA". It matches the Rfam family "Bacterial small subunit ribosomal RNA", at positions 338 to 795 of the family's 1533-position model. Lineage: Bacteria; Pseudomonadati; Pseudomonadota; Gammaproteobacteria; Enterobacterales; Enterobacteriaceae. The record is from RNAcentral.